UCAGACAAGUCAAUACGUUUAAAUUACAAGCAUACUCAAAUCCUGACAUUUUUGUAUUCUGCAUCAUUGCUAGGAACUUCUCUUCUGCAUUUUACCAUGAUCCACACUCCUGCUCAAAAGUCGUAUAUGAAAAAUCAGCUAGCAGAAGAUGUAUCUCUUGGAAUGAAAACCCAGCUGAGAAUGUCAUGGCAUUUUCAAGAAGUGCAGGUAUGAAGUAAGGCUGUUCCCUGGAGAUGAAUGAAUGUACACUCACACUUUGGCCACCUUGAAAAUAAGAGAUACGUAUAAAAACAGAAUGACCGAAGACAUGCCAAGUUCCCACGUGUGAUAACAACAACCACCUUAUGUACUUUCAUC
Molecule: long non-coding RNA, 357 nt
Organism: Podarcis raffonei (Aeolian wall lizard)
Lineage: Eukaryota; Metazoa; Chordata; Lepidosauria; Squamata; Lacertidae
Exons: 3
Source: RefSeq, a predicted model, not a curated record